UUCAAGGAAAGGACACUAGUUUAAUUAAGGUCUGUGCUUGCAACAGGGGCCUGAAUGGUGCCCAGUUCUCCUCCUCUCUGGAUCAACAGCAGCAGCACAAGCUUCUCAUGUGUGCACGUACCUUGCCUCUAGCAGACACUGGUCUCCGUUUCACUGCAUCCCCUUCUGGCUCUGCUAACACUAUUCUCGGUUGCCGACCUGUUCUCAUGGGCACAGCUUGGCUUGUGUGGCUGCUUCAGCUGAAGACUCUCCAGGGAGUGUUUGACCUCAGCAUGGAAGAAAAGGCUGGACUACACAGCGAGCUUUGAGUAGCUGGCUGGAGGACCCAUUUUCACACACAGAGGUCAACUUUGAUACACUUGAGAAGAAUCUGGUCCACUUAUUUGAUUUCACAUUAAUCUAUACCCAGAGGAUUGAUUUAUGAUUGUGUAGACAUGAUUUGGCCCAGAGCAAGAGCAGGAUGUUAGCAGCAUUUCUUCAACCUACUUCUCUCCAUUACAUGGAAGAGCUUUUAGUGCUGACAAAUAAAUCAAUUGGAGCAAUUUUCUUAAACAUUUAUAAGGUGACUAGUUAGGCUGUUUUUCGUUCCCUGUAGGUUGUGAGUUAUCAUAUUGUUUCCAGGAGAUUAUGACUAGGAUCAAUCAUCAGAUUUUUCAAUCUGAGUAAUUAAACCUCAAUUCACUCACCUCAGAGAAUACCCUCAAAAUAGUUAUACGAGAGCAUUUCAACCCUUCAGUUACUAAAAGGUAAGUAUGGAAAGUGCUGAAGGAGUCAGCAUCACAGAAUCCUAGAAUGGCUUGGGAUGGAAGGGACCUUAAAGAUCAUCUAAUUCCAACCCCUCUGCCAUGUGCAGGGAACCCACCCACUAGAU
Long non-coding RNA from Cygnus olor (mute swan), 871 nucleotides. RefSeq lists it as uncharacterized. The transcript is spliced from 4 exons. Lineage: Eukaryota; Metazoa; Chordata; Aves; Anseriformes; Anatidae. The record is from RefSeq and is a predicted model, not a curated record.